GAUGAACGCUAGCUACAGGCUCAACACAUGCAAGUCGAGGGGUAACGAGAGGAAAGCUUGCUUUCCUUGUCGACGACCGGCGCACGGGUGAGUAACGCGUAUCCAACCUGCCCCCAACUAGGGAAUAACCUUGCGAAAGUAAGACUAAUACCCUAUAGUUUCCUCAGAUGACAUCUGACGAGGAAUAAAGAUUUAUCGGUUGUGGAUGGGGAUGCGUCUGAUUAGCUUGUUGGCGGGGUAACGGCCCACCAAGGCAACGAUCAGUAGGGGUUCUGAGAGGAAGGUCCCCCACAUUGGAACUGAGACACGGUCCAAACUCCUACGGGAGGCAGCAGUGAGGAAUAUUGGUCAAUGGGCGGAAGCCUGAACCAGCCAAGUAGCGUGCAGGAUGACGGCCCUAUGGGUUGUAAACUGCUUUUAUACAGGAAUAAAGUUAGCCACGUGUGGUUAUUUGUAGGUACUGUAUGAAUAAGGACCGGCUAAUUCCGUGCCAGCCGCCGCGGUAA
RNAcentral lists this ribosomal RNA (506 nucleotides) under uncultured bacterium. RNAcentral's name for it is "partial 16S ribosomal RNA". It matches the Rfam family "Bacterial small subunit ribosomal RNA", at positions 28 to 523 of the family's 1533-position model. The record is from RNAcentral.